UGAGAAAAAAAUGAGAGCAGGUGAUAAUUUGCUUCAGACGCCAGGACUUUACACGAGAAUUUGUCCAUGUGCCUGCUAGAGCGGCCAACAGGCUCCAGAUAUUUCUGUUGAUCAGUAUCUCAACUAGAUUGUAGUACAUCAUGUUUUAUAUAGCACUGUCAACGUUGCUUUCCUCCCACCUUUGUUUUUGUCUUCACGUAAUUCCAUGUUGCCUUAAAGCAUGAGCUGUAUCGACUGUGUUCAUUUUAAAUUAAACCUUGCACUUUGUAUAGCUACUCUUACGUUAUUUCCUUGUUAGAUGUUGGCGGCUGAACUUUACACAACUUUUCCCACGGACCUCCUUUCAAAGGGAAGUAAUUCCUGCUGUCAGUGAACACGGGCUCACUGCAAGGCGCUCCUUACUCAAUGCGGAAGCCCCCUUGGGUUUGUCUUUUGUUGCUAAAAAGAAGUCAAGGGCGUCAAGUUGUUGCAUACGAGCAAGGAAUUCAUUUCCUUCUGCGAGUCUUAAACUCUUUGGGUGAGACGCGCAGCAUUUUUGGCUUCCCGGAAGGUUCAAGGUUGGAGCAUCAGCACUUCUCUUUGCGUGUCUUUUGCCUCAAAAGGCGUAAACCUUGGAACCUUGGGUGACCAAAUAUUUUUUCUUCUUAUGACAAUUCAAGGUUGCCGAACUUGUUUUAAAGGUCUUCAACAUAUUUAUCUAAAGGCUCACUCGCUCCUGGCCUUCUUUUCCUGCUGAUAACAUCUGCCGCAUACACCAUACUCUAUUUUUACCAGACAAACGAGGCUGAAGGAAUCAAAAUUUCCUUUGUCACUUCUGGACGUAAAAAUGAUUCGAGCUGUCCAGCUAAGUGUAACGCUAUCCUAUCCAUUCUUAAUUUCUCGCGUACAUAAUUUCGUGAUUUCCGCAAACAAUACUUCGCGAAAUAGAGCAUUACGUUUCGCGAAACUGACGUCAACCGACAAAGGUUGUACAUGUAUUUUUCGCUUUUGCGCGCGCCCAAUUCGCUCGCUAGCUCAAUGAAAAAAUAAAGCGCAGCUAAACAAACGUCCGUGGACAGACUAGUCUUGAAAAAGUUAAUCCGUAAAUUUCCGAGAAACGCUUAAGAAGCGCA
This is a long non-coding RNA of Orbicella faveolata, 1112 nucleotides long. The record is from RefSeq and is a predicted model, not a curated record. NCBI's taxonomy places the organism in Eukaryota, Metazoa, Cnidaria, Anthozoa, Scleractinia, Merulinidae.